This 305-nucleotide ribosomal RNA is filed under the name uncultured bacterium. Its description in RNAcentral is "partial 16S ribosomal RNA". It matches the Rfam family "Bacterial small subunit ribosomal RNA", at positions 508 to 807 of the family's 1533-position model. The record is from RNAcentral.
ACAGCAGCCGCCGCGGUAAUACGGAGGGAGCUAGCGUUGUUCGGAAUUACUGGGCGUAAAGCGCACGUAGGCGGCUUUGUAAGUUAGAGGUGAAAGCCUGGGGCUCAACUCCAGAAUUGCCUUUGAGACUGCAUCGCUUGAACACGGGAGAGGUGAGUGGAAUUCCGAGUGUAGAGGUGAAAUUCGUAGAUAUUCGGAAGAACACCAGUGGCGAAGGCGGCUCACUGGACCGUUGUUGACGCUGAGGUGCGAAAGCGUGGGGAGCAAACAGGAUUAGAUACCCCUGUAGUCCCUGUCUCUUAUAC